AUUGAACGCUGGCGGCAGGCCUAACACAUGCAAGUCGAACGAGUGGCGGACGGGUGAGUAAUGUCUGGGAAACUGCCCGCUGGUGGGGGAUAACUACUGGAAACGGUAGUUAAUACCGCAUACCAUCGGAUGAGCCCAUAUGGGAUUAGCUAGUAGGGGGGGUAACGGCUCACCUGGGCGACGUGGCCUAGCUGGUCUGAGAGGAUGACAAGCCACACUGGAACUGAGACACGGUCCAGACGCCUACGGGAGGCAGCAGUGGGGAAUAUUGCACAAUGGGCGCAAGCCUGAUGCAGCCAUGCCGCGUGUAUGAAGAAGGCCUUAGGGUUGUAAAGUACUUACAGCGGGGAGGCGUUACGCGCAGAAGAAGCACCGGCUAACUCCGUGCCAGCAGCCGCGGUAAUUC
Molecule: ribosomal RNA, 406 nt
Filed under: uncultured bacterium
Lineage: Bacteria
Description: partial 16S ribosomal RNA
Rfam family: Bacterial small subunit ribosomal RNA
Source: RNAcentral